AGUGAACGCUGGCGGUAGGCCUAACACAUGCAAGUCGAACGGCAGCACAGUAAGAGCUUGCUCUUACGGGUGGCGAGUGGCGGACGGGUGAGGAAUACAUCGGAAUCUACUUUUUCGUGGGGGAUAACGUAGGGAAACUUACGCUAAUACCGCAUACGACCUACGGGUGAAAGCAGGGGAUCUUCGGACCUUGCGCGAUUGAAUGAGCCGAUGUCGGAUUAGCUAGUUGGCGGGGUAAAGGCCCACCAAGGCGACGAUCCGUAGCUGGUCUGAGAGGAUGAUCAGCCACACUGGAACUGAGACACGGUCCAGACUCCUACGGGAGGCAGCAGUGGGGAAUAUUGGACAAUGGGCGCAAGCCUGAUCCAGACAUACCGCGUGGGUGAAGAAGGCAUUCGGGUUGUAAAGCCCUUUUGUUGGGAAAGAAAAGCAGCAGGUUAAUACCCCGCUGUUCUGACGGUACCCAACGAAUAAGCACCGGCUAACUUCGUG
RNAcentral lists this ribosomal RNA (492 nucleotides) under uncultured bacterium. Its description in RNAcentral is "partial 16S ribosomal RNA". It matches the Rfam family "Bacterial small subunit ribosomal RNA", at positions 29 to 507 of the family's 1533-position model. The record is from RNAcentral.